CGUAGGUGGCCAAUUAAGUCAAAUGUGAAAUCCCCGAGCUUAACUUGGGAAUUGCAUUCGAUACUGGUUGGCUAGAGUAUGGGAGAGGAUGGUAGAAUUCCAGGUGUAGCGGUGAAAUGCGUAGAGAUCUGGAGGAAUACCGAUGGCGAAGGCAGCCAUCUGGCCUAAUACUGACACUGAGGUGCGAAAGCAUGGGGAGCAAACA
Molecule: ribosomal RNA, 205 nt
Filed under: uncultured Acinetobacter sp.
Lineage: Bacteria; Pseudomonadati; Pseudomonadota; Gammaproteobacteria; Moraxellales; Moraxellaceae
Description: partial 16S ribosomal RNA
Rfam family: Bacterial small subunit ribosomal RNA
Source: RNAcentral